RNAcentral lists this ribosomal RNA (417 nucleotides) under uncultured bacterium. RNAcentral describes it as "partial 16S ribosomal RNA". It matches the Rfam family "Bacterial small subunit ribosomal RNA", at positions 360 to 774 of the family's 1533-position model. The record is from RNAcentral.
AAUAUUGGUCAAUGGAGGCAACUCUGAACCAGCUAAGUCGCGUGAAGGAUGACUGCCCNCCGGGUNGNAAACUUCUUUUUUAGGGNGAUAAAGUGAGCCACGUGUGGCUUUUUGCAUGUACCUUACGAAGAAGGAUCGGCUAACCCCGUGCCAGCAGACGCGGUAAUACGGAGGAUCCGAGCGUUAUCCGGAUUUAUUUGGUUUAAAGGGUGCGCAGGCGGAAUAUUAAGUCGGCGGUGAAAGUUUGCAGCUUAACGGUAAAAUUGCCGUUGAAACUGGUUUUCUUGAGUGUAUAUGAAGUAGGCGGAAUUUGUAGUGUAGCGGUGAAAUGCAUAGAUAUUACAAGGAACUCCGAUUGCGAAGGCAGCUUACUAAAAUACAACUGACGCUCAGGCACGAAGGCGUGGGUAUCAAACA